RNAcentral lists this ribosomal RNA (630 nucleotides) under Triticum aestivum (bread wheat). RNAcentral describes it as "partial small subunit ribosomal RNA". The record is from RNAcentral. Lineage: Eukaryota; Viridiplantae; Streptophyta; Magnoliopsida; Poales; Poaceae.
AUGCGUUCCCCUGCCGGCCUCCGCCUCGGCGCCGCCGCGGCCCUCCCCCUCCUCCUCCUGCUCGCGCUCCGGCUGCCGGCCCCCGCCGUCGCCGGCCGCCCCCUCGUCGCCCGCGACCGCAAGCCCGCCCCGUCCGAGGCCGCGGCCACCGCUAGGUGGCUCGCCGCGCAGAACACCUGGGGCGUCCUCAGCACAAUAUCAAGUGAUCUAAGUGGCGCUCCUUUUGGCAAUGUAGUUUCAUAUAGUGAUGGGGUACCAGGUGAGAGCCAUGGAAUUCCCUACUUUUAUCUGACUACUCUGGAUCCCACUGCAAGAGAUGCGUUGGAGGAUGAAAGGACGUCCUUUACCCUUAGUGAGUUCCCUCUUGGCACUUGUGGGAAGGUUGAUCCUGAAAACCCAACAUGUGCAAAACUUACUCUUACCGGAAAGUUGAAGGUGGUUGACCAUAAGUCACCUGAAGCGGAUUUGGCCAAAACCGCGCUUUUCAGCAAGCACCCUGAAAUGGAGGGUUGGCCAAAGAACCAUCACUUCGAGAUCUUUAAACUGGAAAUCGAAAACAUAUUCUUGAUCGACUGGUUUGGGGGUCCUAAACCUAUAUCCCCUUCACAGUAUCUUGAUUAUGGAAGGUGA